Etheostoma spectabile (orangethroat darter) is the source of this 107-nucleotide long non-coding RNA. RefSeq lists it as uncharacterized. The record is from RefSeq and is a predicted model, not a curated record. NCBI's taxonomy places the organism in Eukaryota, Metazoa, Chordata, Actinopteri, Perciformes, Percidae. The transcript has 3 exons.
GCCAUUCGGUGACCUAGUUGACAUGGUUUGGGUUGUCUUGAUUAUGACAAGUUGACAUUAAUCAAAGUGACAUUACCAGAAGUUGUGUUGGUCAUGACAUUGACAUU